GAACGGCAGCGCGGGAGCAAUCCUGGCGGCGAGUGGCGAACGGGUGAGUAAUAUAUCGGAACGUGCCCAGUAGUGGGGGAUAGCCCGGCGAAAGCCGGAUUAAUACCGCAUACGACCUGAGGGUGAAAGCGGGGGAUCGCAAGACCUCGCGCUACUGGAGCGGCCGAUAUCAGAUUAGCUAGUUGGUGGGGUAAAGGCCUACCAAGGCAACGAUCUGUAGUUGGUCUGAGAGGACGACCAGCCACACUGGGACUGAGACACGGCCCAGACUCCUACGGGAGGCAGCAGUGGGGAAUUUUGGACAAUGGGCGCAAGCCUGAUCCAGCAAUGCCGCGUGCAGGAAGAAGGCCUUCGGGUUGUAAACUGCUUUUGUCAGGGAAGAAAUCUUCUGGGCUAAUAUCNCCGGGAGGAUGACGGUACCUGAAGAAUAAGCACCGGCUAACUACGUG
This 449-nucleotide ribosomal RNA is filed under the name uncultured bacterium. RNAcentral's name for it is "bacterial SSU rRNA". It matches the Rfam family "Bacterial small subunit ribosomal RNA", at positions 64 to 507 of the family's 1533-position model. The record is from RNAcentral.